AGUUGCUGUGAGUGGCUUGGAACAUGCAAAAUAUGCUAAGCAAGAAACACAGCCCGUACCUGAAGAGUUAGCAGUUGAAAGGCACAAAGAGGGGAUUGCAGUGGCAAAGCUAGGCUAGGUCUUGGAGGCUGGUGGAAGGCGAAGCGGGUGAAGGCAGGAGGCUGAUGGAGAGACUGGGGGGAAGAAAAGCCGAAAUGGAUUCACGGUGCCUUGGAUGGAGGACGAGAGGGGAAUUGCAAGCUCCUUCAACUCGUUCUGUCCGGUGAGAAGUGAUCAAGCUUGGGCUGACAAGAGGCUCAGGAAGCCCUCACGUUCUUUCGCUUUUUUACCUGCCAAUCAAACUGCUACAAGACAACACCCUGAUCUGGCAUGGACAUGUAAUUUCUAUUUAAAAUAAUUAGAUCAUUUAAUGGGCACACUAUGUUUUUCCCUGGACAACAGCUGCAGUGCAGAGACAACUCUUACGUUAAAACUGCUUGAUAAUU
Enhydra lutris kenyoni (northern sea otter) is the source of this 485-nucleotide long non-coding RNA. RefSeq lists it as uncharacterized. The record is from RefSeq and is a predicted model, not a curated record. NCBI's taxonomy places the organism in Eukaryota, Metazoa, Chordata, Mammalia, Carnivora, Mustelidae. The transcript has 3 exons.